Molecule: long non-coding RNA, 1557 nt
Organism: Bubalus bubalis (water buffalo)
Lineage: Eukaryota; Metazoa; Chordata; Mammalia; Artiodactyla; Bovidae
Exons: 3
Source: RefSeq, a predicted model, not a curated record
GUCUGGCAAGGAUAGCGCACUCAGGUCAGGUAAGCAGGAGGCUGGGGCUGGAAGACUCCCAGAAAAGACCAGAGUUGGCUGGGCUACAGUGGCACACUGAGCCCCGGGGAAGGUGAGACUAUGGCAUUACUCAGCCUUGCUCGGUGAAGAAAGCUCUAUUCUUCUCUCUUGGCCUCUGGCUUGAGGUUAGUGGUAGUGACAUAAGGCUCAAAUUCAGGCAUGUGGGUAUGAAGAUGCCUAAAAGAGGGGGGGGAAAUUGGAGUGAAGAAUUGACUCAAGAAUCAUAGCUCAGAGAAUUCAUUUCGGUUUUCUCCCAAAUCUUCUGGCUGCAUAUUCUUCUAAAGGGGCUCAUGUCAAACUGAAAGAGAAAGUAAAUCAGGCAAGGAAACCUCUGUGGUUUUUUCCUUUUUACUACAAUAACACUCAAAUGGAUUCCAUCUGGUCUACCAUUUGUGCACCUGUUCCCAGUUCCCUCCAUUCCGUUGACUCUUUGUGACCCCAUGGACUGCAGCACACCAGGCUUCCCUGUCCUUCACCAUCUCCUGGAACUUGGUCUAACUCGUAUCCAUUGAGUAGGUGAUGCCAUCCAACCAUCUUGUCCUCUGCUGUCCCUUUCUUCUCCUUCAAAGUUUCCCAGCAUCAGGGUCUUUUCUAAUGAGUUGGCUCUUCGCAUCCGAUGGCCAAAGCAUUCUACUUUCUAGGAUGUGUCAUCCUCUUUCCUUCUGCUUUGCCUUUUACCUUAUUUUCGCUCCUCUAGUCCAGUCCAGGGACCCCUCUCAUGUUUCUCAGAAUCCUCUGUUGAUGGCAGCAGUUUUAAAUUCUGAUUUUCUGAAGGAAAACAUUUAUCUUUAAGAUUUUGGGAGGAGGGAUGGCUUGAGUGUUGGUGGUGGUAAAGAGAUAAAUACUAAAGAGCAGAAUGUGAAAUACAAUAGUAUUUGAGCAGAUUUUAAGUUCCAUUUCCCAGUCCCCUACUUGGGUUUUCUUCUAUUCUCUUAUUUUAUCAUUGAAAAGCUAGGCAAUCUUCUCAGUCCCUCAUUUCAGAUCAGCAAAAGGUUUAUUUUUCCAAAAAUAACAGCAGGAGACAAAUGUAUGUAUUUGGUACAAAUAUGGAGAGGUAUUUUGAUCACAUCUGAUAAAAAUUACCCCUGAACAACAGAAAUGAAAAUGGAAAAAUGUCCAAAUUUUGACAGAUGUUAGAAUCCAGGAUAAUCUCUAAAAGAUUUAAAUAUAUGAAGAAACAGUGCAAAUGAUAGUCUUCCAUACAUAUACAGAAAUCCCAUUUUCAUAAGGAGUUGAUGUUAGUUUGAGCCCAUUCCAUCUACAGUUUUCCAAGACUGUAAAAUUAGAGCUCUUGAACAUUGAACUUGUAGCAUAAAUGUUUCUUAUAGGGUUAUAUUUAAAAUAAGAUGACAAGACGAAGUAUGAGAACAUAAUUCUGAGAAGGCAUUUAGCUUAGGAAACCAGAAAUUGUACACCAGUAGAGAAAAAGUGCUCUUGCCUGGAAAAUCCCAUGGACGGAGGAGCCUGGUAGGCUGCAGUCCGUGGGGUUGCUAAGAU